GACACUGCAAAAAAAUCAUUUAACCAAAUUAAGUUAAGUAUAAAUACAUUUUGAAAAAUGUUGGUGAGCCACUGGACUGGCAGAGUGUCUGAUGCUGCUGGAACUUGAAGAUGGAGCAAAGGAGGCAUGAAAGAGCUGAAGGAAGAAAUAGCCCCAUUUGAUAUGGCAAGCGUGAAUAACUUAAACUAAUAGGGAAGAAAAUAACAGGAAAGAACAGCGAAGACGAGAGACAGAGACUGGACGUGUUGUUCUAAAGCACACAUGUCUAAUGAUGAGGAUGUCCUUGAUGAAUUCAUUGUUUGAUAAUAGUCUGUCUUUGUCAAAAACUCAAUCCCAGAAUUCCAUCGAUGUCAGUGUCUAUAUGAUCCAUCUGUCGCCUAAAUGCUGGCUGACUUUGCCUAAGGGGAUAUUAACAUAUGUCACUCUCUAUUCAGAAUGA
This 439-nucleotide long non-coding RNA is filed under the name Pan paniscus (pygmy chimpanzee). RNAcentral's name for it is "lncRNA (ENSPPAG00000044515.1)". The record is from RNAcentral. Lineage: Eukaryota; Metazoa; Chordata; Mammalia; Primates; Hominidae.